This 253-nucleotide ribosomal RNA is filed under the name uncultured bacterium. RNAcentral describes it as "partial 16S ribosomal RNA". It matches the Rfam family "Bacterial small subunit ribosomal RNA", at positions 524 to 776 of the family's 1533-position model. The record is from RNAcentral.
UACAGAGGGGGCAAGCGUUGCUCGGAAUUACUGGGCGUAAAGCGUGCGCAGGCGGUUUUGUAAGCCAGAUGUGAAAUCCCCGGGCUUAACCUGGGAAUGGCAUUUGGGACUGCAAGGCUUGAGUUUGGCAGAGGAGACUGGAAUUCCUGGUGUAGCAGUGAAAUGCGUAGAUAUCAGGAGGAAUACCGAUGGCGAAGGCAGGUCUCUGGGCUGAAACUGACGCUCAUGCACGAAAGCGUGGGGAGCAAACAGG